This 253-nucleotide unclassified non-coding RNA is filed under the name uncultured Alphaproteobacteria bacterium. RNAcentral's name for it is "contains 16S-23S intergenic spacer region". It matches the Rfam family "Bacterial small subunit ribosomal RNA", at positions 524 to 776 of the family's 1533-position model. Lineage: Bacteria; Pseudomonadati; Pseudomonadota; Alphaproteobacteria. The record is from RNAcentral.
UACGAAGGGGGCUAGCGUUGCUCGGAAUGACUGGGCGUAAAGGGCGUGUAGGCGGUUUACACAGUCAGAUGUGAAAUCCCCGGGCUUAACCUGGGAGCUGCAUUUGAUACGUGUAGACUAGAGUGUGAGAGAGGGUUGUGGAAUUCCCAGUGUAGAGGUGAAAUUCGUAGAUAUUGGGAAGAACACCGGUGGCGAAGGCGGCAACCUGGCUCAUGACUGACGCUGAGGCGCGAAAGCGUGGGGAGCAAACAGG